UUCACUGAUGACGGCAAAGAGUGAAAAAUCCCUGAAAAAAGACAGAGUUAAAAAACCCAGCCAGACCUGAUCAGGAGCAGCUCCCCGCGCCCACCGCCGUAGAGCUGCUAGGGUUCCCCACCGCCGCCGGCCUCCUCGGUCGCCGUCGCUACCCUACCGAUCGCCGCCGCCCUCACCUGUCGUCGCCGUCGGUCUCCGCUCCGUUCCAGCCCCACCACGAGCGAGGAGACCGACCGGUUCGCGCCUCCCUGCCGGUCGCCACCCGCUGCCGCCCCUUCCCGUUCAUUCAGGCGGCAAGCCGGCAACUGGCAGGGCGUCCACUUCCCUGCUGGACAAGGGGACAACCUUGGCUUGGUUGAAUCUUCCCUGCUCGUGGCAGAUCCAUGUAGGACGUUGACCCCGGUGCUCUUCUUGCUCGAGGCACACAUCUCCUAUGGCUUCUUUCGUCCUGCAGCUUGCAUCCGCUUCGGUCCUUCCGUGCCAAUCCGGCUGCUCUUCUCCUUUCGUCUUGCAGCUCCAUUACUCCGGUCCGACAACUCAUUCUGACCAAGCAGUAGGCUGCUAACAAAAUGUCUUCAGCAAGAUCAGGAGUUUCCACCGCAGCCGUGACCGGAAGAACAAGAAAACAUCCAGCUUGGGAGCAUGCCCUACCCAUUACUGUUUUUUCAGUUCCUAUGAUGGAUUGAUGGUAAUCAGCUCAUGGUUUGAUGGAUAUGGAAUAUUGUGAUAUUGUUGGCUUGUGGUUGUAGUGUACUUUUGAGUCUCGAAUUAUUUCUUUAAUGAUGAAUGCCCAGAAAACUAACAUGUUGGUGGUUGUUAUUUGAUACGAAUAUUUGUUGCAAGGUUACAUGGUUGAAUAUUGUCCAGAUGGACUAGUUUUUAGUCUAUAAAGGACGGUUGUUCAAAUCAAGUUUCAUACUCUUGUCAACAACUUAGAAAUGUACAUGAUAAUCUCUAAUUCGUAAGUAUUAUUACAAAUACGCUAUAUGGACAUAGCGUCCACAAUAUCACCCGUUAUCCGUAUUCCACUACACUGACCUCGAUUCGCUAUCACCCCGCUAUCCGCUAUUUAAAACCUUGCUUGACGGAAGUUAAAUUUGUACAACUUUCUUUCCCUUGUUUCAUACUAUUAUUGUAUAUGCUCCUGUGAAUCUUUUUUUUGAAGGAUGACCAGCUUUCAAAGAUGUGCGUGGACCAAAUUCACGGCGAUCACACAAGUCCUACUGCUUGCUGAUCGGACGAUGGUCCAGUAAGACUUCAAUCGAAGAUCACAUUCAAGUUAUGGAUCCACUUGCUCAUCGCUCAAGUCUAAGAUAAGGAUACACGAGGAGAUAACGUCUGGACCCUUGUAGGAGACCAUCCUCAAGCAGCGCCAAUCCGUCGGCCGGGACGAUGACACCAUUAUAAAUCAGCUCCCAAUUCUAUCUCCCUAUUUUUGCCUCCAUGAUGCCACGAUACUGUAUUUUCUUAUAGCUGUCGUUGGCAGCAGUUAAUCAAAGAAUUAGGUAAUCUUCUAAUCAGAUCUGCACUUGACAAGCAUCGCAUGGUCAGCCGUUUUACACACAGGUACGUGCAGGUAGUCAAAACUGAGUUGUGCAUUAUACGCACAGUUGAGUAGUAUAUGGUAAUGUGAGUUUGUGGUUAGCUAGCUAGUUAAGUGGCAAUUAGGAUAAGAAGGAACCGUAAUGUUGGCAUGCCUAUGAGUGGUGGCGAAUUCAUGUUGUGAGAAUAUGUCAAUUCUAUUGAGAUUGUCUUUCUGGGAUGUGUGUUUAUCUCUGUAAUCUGUAUGAAACUUUGGGUUUGAAUUAAUUUGCUAAAAUAGUAGAUGCUCACCCUGAUUUCUAACAAUGCCGAGAGAAUUUGUUAGGUGGCAUUGCUUUUUAGUAGUUCAAAUGGUGAUUUCUGCUAUGAUUUUCUGUUAUUGUAAUGGUAUGUGGAACUCAAAGUUCACUCUUUUGAUAUAUUUUGCUUAAAUGUGUGUAAAUGUAUGGCUCUUUCAUGACUUGAACCUUGCAAUGGUAGGGUUUCCACAACACGAUGUAUGACCUAAACAAUGGCUGAAAAUAUUUUUUGGAGUAUUUGUUUCGAAAGAUAUUUCUGAUAUUUUAGUGCAUGUGAUAUAUUUUAGAUAGUACUGCCUCAAUAUUUUGUGCUCGAUUUUUAUUGCAGUUACCAAAAUAUUUAAAAUUACAGUUAACAUGUACAAUAUACAAUAUUUACAGUGUUUAUUAAAUAUAUAUUUAUGAAGAUGUGCGUUGCACAUGCACGCAUACAAGUCUUAGGUAAAUUAAGAAACUGAGAUUUAUUUUAAUUUGGAGCGCCUCUUGUUGUACCACGGUUCCUUCUCUUAGAGAUGUAUACUUGUACUACAUGUUUUGGACUGGCAGGGGAAAAUGUUCUCCUUUCAGUCUUUGUUGAAGUCAACCCAUCCAUGCAAUCUCUUUAUUUAUGUAGAUAAAUAUAUAUGCCUUGUAGUUUUAUCAUGUGCAAGCCAUUCAACUAACUUGCUCUUAUCCAUGCAGAUAGAGACAUGGAGUAGGAGGACGAGCAGCAACCGCAAAUAAGCCUGAUGAUGGUGGGGUGCGGGAGGAAAUGGUAAUGAUGCUUAUGGCAUGACCAUAACCUGGACCUAUUGGCAUUUAGAGGUUGCAAACAGAGACGGCGUUCAGACAACAAUCUGGACCACUAGCCUUCCUUGCCUUUUUUCUUUUGGUUGUGGUUGUUGCAUCACCGGCGGCAUCGCGAAUCAGUAUGUAGUGCGCUUGUGCAGUUGAGGUAUGUACUACAGUGUCCAUGUAGUAGGUGAGGUGUUGUUGUUGCUAGAUUCAAUGAUGCUCACCUCAGUUUUGCGUUACCUGGGGGACAACCGUUGUGAUCUUAUUUGUCGACACUUGUUAUAUUGUGAUCUUAUUGGUCGUUGUUAUGGUGUGUGCUAUAUGUAUAUAUAUAUAUAUAUGGAUGUGUUGUGGACUA
This is a long non-coding RNA of Hordeum vulgare subsp. vulgare (domesticated barley), 2973 nucleotides long. RefSeq lists it as uncharacterized. Lineage: Eukaryota; Viridiplantae; Streptophyta; Magnoliopsida; Poales; Poaceae. The transcript is spliced from 3 exons. The record is from RefSeq and is a predicted model, not a curated record.